AGAGGACGAAAACCCAUGCAGAUGCAGCUAGCCCGCGCCGUGCGGAGAACGACAUGCCGUGCCGCCUCCGAGAGCAGAGCAUAACAGAAACCGCCAUUGGCGCCCUAAGCUAAGCUAGUAGUAGCACAAACGAGUGCGUGUUGAAGAUGGUCUCAGAAGAGGGAGGCGGUAAUCGGAGAUACAUUGCUACGGGGCGGGGAAGCGAGAUGUCUGCUGUUGGGGGGAGGGGGCACCGACAAAAGAAACAAAAUUAAUUCAGGUCGCGGCGACCACAAAGAAGACGCCCAACCCCCGCAUCCCGAACUACCCGAGCCUGCCGUCCCAGCUGCUGUGCCAAGUUCACAACAUCACCAUGCAUGUAAGUGCACACGGUUCAUCUUCAGGUUCAGGUGUAGGGGUUAGUUGCCAGAUGCAUUAGCCAUUUAACCCUGAAGAAUGCUUGAUUACUUGUCUUCCACACGCCGACAAGGACACCGAUGAGAUGUAUGCACAGAUGACUCUUCAACCAGUGAACUCUGUAUUUCUGUAAGUACUGUUUGCAAUGGAGCUUGGUGAAGAAAUUCAGAACAUGCUGAACUGAAUUUUUUCUACAGUGUUAACUGAAAGUGUAAAACUGUCACCUGAAAGUCUAAAUCUGGCCAAAACAUCGGGACUCCACUGAGUUGUCACCAAUCCUCGUAUUCUAGUAUUAUUCAAAAUGUCAAGCAAAACUAUAUGCCUCCCUCAA
Hordeum vulgare subsp. vulgare (domesticated barley) is the source of this 727-nucleotide long non-coding RNA. RefSeq lists it as uncharacterized. The transcript is spliced from 2 exons. Lineage: Eukaryota; Viridiplantae; Streptophyta; Magnoliopsida; Poales; Poaceae. The record is from RefSeq and is a predicted model, not a curated record.